AAGAGGAAGAGAACGAUAAAGGGGAAAAAAGAGAGAGAGACAGGUAUUGAGCGAUCUCUCUUAUCAUAUGUGAGGAAAAUGAGAGAGAGAGAGAGAGAGAGAGAGAGAGAGAGAGAGAGAGAGAGAGAGAGAGAGAGAGAGAGAGAGAGAGAGAGAGAGAGA
Long non-coding RNA from Portunus trituberculatus (swimming crab), 162 nucleotides. RefSeq lists it as uncharacterized. The record is from RefSeq and is a predicted model, not a curated record. The transcript has 2 exons. NCBI's taxonomy places the organism in Eukaryota, Metazoa, Arthropoda, Malacostraca, Decapoda, Portunidae.